AGAUUUGGUCGUAGAGUGCGACCAAGUAAAUCAAAAAAAAGCUCACUGAGA
The submitters of this non-coding RNA (51 nucleotides) gave its source as unclassified sequences. The record is from Rfam.